Molecule: ribosomal RNA, 492 nt
Filed under: uncultured bacterium
Lineage: Bacteria
Description: partial 16S ribosomal RNA
Rfam family: Bacterial small subunit ribosomal RNA
Source: RNAcentral
AGUGAACGCUGGCGGUAGGCCUAACACAUGCAAGUCGAACGGCAGCACAGUAAGAGCUUGCUCUUACGGGUGGCGAGUGGCGGACGGGUGAGGAAUACAUCGGAAUCUACUUUUUCGGGGGGGAUAACGUAGGGAAACUUACGCUAAUACCGCAUACGACCUACGGGUGAAAGCAGGGGAUCUUCGGACCUUGCGCGAUUGAAUGAGCCGAUGUCGGAUUAGCUAGUUGGCGGGGUAAAGGCCCACCAAGGCGACGAUCCGUAGCUGGUCUGAGAGGAUGAUAGGCCACACUGGAACUGAGACACGGUCCAGACUCCUACGGGAGGCAGCAGUGGGGAAUAUUGGACAAUGGGCGCAAGCCUGAUCCAGCCAUACCGCGUGGGUGAAGAAGGCCUUCGGGUUGUAAAGCCCUUUUGUUGGGAAAGAACAGCAGCAGGUUAAUACCCCGCUGUUCUGACGGUACCCAAAGAAUAAGCACCGGCUAACUUCGUG